GGCCAGGUAGCUCAGUUGGUAGAGCAAAGGACUGAAAAUCCUUGUGUCGGCGGUUCGAGCCCGCCUCUGGCCACCA
RNAcentral lists this transfer RNA (76 nucleotides) under Rickettsiaceae bacterium 4572_127. RNAcentral describes it as "tRNA-Phe". It matches the Rfam family "tRNA". From Rfam's summary of the family: Transfer RNA (tRNA) molecules are approximately 80 nucleotides in length. Their secondary structure includes four short double-helical elements and three loops (D, anti-codon, and T loops). Further hydrogen bonds mediate the characteristic L-shaped molecular structure. tRNAs have two regions of fundamental functional importance: the anti-codon, which is responsible for specific mRNA codon recognition, and the 3' end, to which the tRNAs corresponding amino acid is attached (by aminoacyl-tRNA synthetases). tRNAs cope with the degeneracy of the genetic code in two manners: having more than one tRNA (with a specific anti-codon) for a particular amino acid; and 'wobble' base-pairing, i.e. permitting non-standard base-pairing at the 3rd anti-codon position. Lineage: Bacteria; Pseudomonadati; Pseudomonadota; Alphaproteobacteria; Rickettsiales; Rickettsiaceae. The record is from RNAcentral. RNAcentral also lists the same sequence under 1 other name.